This 1602-nucleotide ribosomal RNA is filed under the name human gut metagenome. RNAcentral describes it as "bacterial LSU rRNA". It matches the Rfam family "Bacterial large subunit ribosomal RNA", at positions 1326 to 2925 of the family's 2925-position model. The record is from RNAcentral.
AAACCCCCUCGCCGAAAGACUAAGGUUUCCUGAUCAACGCUAAUCGGAUCAGGGUCAGUCGGGUCCUAAGGCUCAGCCGAACGGCGAUGCCGAUGGCAGAAACGGUUAAUAUUCCGUUACUACCUUCAGGAGUGACGUGGAGACGCAGUAGUGACAGUGCCGCCAUCUGACGGAAUAGAUGGUUGAAGGGUGUAGGAGUCGAUCAUGGCAGGCAAAUCCACCAUGAGAUCCGAACCUGAUAGUAUGCCGCGUCCUUCGGGACAAGGCAAUAGUGCGCGUAAGCAUGCUGCCGAGAAAAUCCGCUAAACUUAAUCCUGCAGGUACCCGUACCGCAAACGGACACACGUAGUCGGGAUGAAUAUUCUAAGGCGCUUGAGUGAUUCACGGUUAAGGAACUAGGCAAACUGACCCUGUAACUUCGGGAUAAAGGGUCCCUACCCUUUUAUGGGAGGGCGCAGAGAAUCGGUCCAGGCAACUGUUUAACAAAAACACAGGGCUGUGCCAAAUCGAAAGAUCCAGUAUACAGCCUGACACCUGCCCGGUGCUGGAAGGUUAAGAGGAGAUGUCAUCGAUAAGAGAAGCGUUGAAUUGAAGCCCCAGUAAACGGCGGCCGUAACUAUAACGGUCCUAAGGUAGCGAAAUUCCUUGUCGGGUAAGUUCCGACCCGCACGAAAGGCGUAAUGAUUUGGGCACUGUCUCGACAAUGCACCCGGUGAAAUUGAAAUACCAGUGAAGAUGCUGGUUACCUGCGCCAGGACGGAAAGACCCCAUGGAGCUUUACUCCAGCUUGAUACUGGGAUUCGAUAUUGCAUGUACAGGAUAGGUGGGAGACUUUGAACUGAUGACGCCAGUUGUCAGGGAGUCACUGUUGGGAUACCACCCUUGUAGUAUUGGAUUUCUAACCAGCAGCCGUGAACCGGCUGGGGGACAAUGUCAGGUGGGGAGUUUGACUGGGGCGGUCGCCUCCGAAAGGGUAUCGGAGGCGCUCAAAGGUUCCCUCAGAAUGGUUGGAAACCAUUCGAAGAGUGCAAAGGCAGAAGGGAGCUUGACUGCGACACCGACGGGUGGAGCAGGUACGAAAGUAGGACUUAGUGAUCCGGUGGUAUAAAGUGGGAUUGCCAUCGCUCAACGGAUAAAAGCUACCCUGGGGAUAACAGGCUUAUCACUCCCAAGAGUUCACAUCGACGGAGUGGUUUGGCACCUCGAUGUCGGCUCAUCGCAUCCUGGGGCUGAAGUAGGUCCCAAGGGUUGGGCUGUUCGCCCAUUAAAGCGGUACGCGAGCUGGGUUCAGAACGUCGUGAGACAGUUCGGUCCCUAUCUGUCGUGGGCGUAGGAUAUUUGAAAGGAGCUGUCCCUAGUACGAGAGGACCGGGAUGGACGCACCUCUGGUGCACCAGUUGUCACGCCAGUGGCACAGCUGGGCAGCUAUGUGCGGAACGGAUAAACGCUGAAAGCAUCUAAGCGUGAAGCCGCCUUCAAGAUAAGAUAUCCCAUAGCAUAAGCUAGUAAGACCCCUCAUGGACUAAGAGGUUGAUAGGCUGCAUGUGUAAGCGUGGUGACACGUUUAGCUUGGCAGUACUAAUAGGUCGAGGGCUUGACUUU